RNAcentral lists this long non-coding RNA (932 nucleotides) under Dendronephthya gigantea. Its description in RNAcentral is "uncharacterized LOC114538341, transcript variant X2". The record is from RNAcentral. Lineage: Eukaryota; Metazoa; Cnidaria; Anthozoa; Malacalcyonacea; Nephtheidae.
UUGUUAUAUUCCUAGUCUUUGCAGAUAAUGCGGUUGAAUGUUUUAAACUUGGUCAGCUUUGCAGCUCAAAUGGUAGAAAUUUAAUCCGUGAAUGUGACAGUCAGGGUUGUGGUGAUUUCGGAACACCAAGAGGUUCUCGUACACACAAUGGCGUCGACAUAAUUUGCAAACCAGGGAAUUCUGUCUUGACACCAUUUGCUGCGAAGAUCUGACGAAAAUCACGUUCUUAUUCAAACAACAACAAACCAUAUAACAAUGGAUUGUAUAUUCAAGGAAGCGGAGAAGCCGAAGAUAAUGCGGUUGAAUGUUUUAAACUUGGUCAGCUUUGCAGCUUAAAUGGUAGAAAUUUAAUCCGUGAAUGUGACAGUCAGGGUUGUGGUGAUUUCGGAACACCAAGAGGUUCUCGUACACACAAUGGUGUCGACAUAAUUUGCAAACCAGAGAGUUCUGUCAUGACACCAUUUGCUGCGAAGAUCUGACGAAAAUCACGUUCUUAUUCAAACAACAACAAACCAUAUAACAAUGGAUUGUAUAUUCAAGGAAGCGGAGAAGCCGAAGAUAUAAAAUGGAUAUUUCAGGUGGUCUUGGAAGAUCUGCUGGAAAGAUAUGGCGUGUUGGUCUGAUGGGGUUGAACAGUACAAAAGAUAAUGUAAAUCUUGUACUAAAAGCCUUCAAGGACGCGAUGGAAAACGUGAAACUACAAAACAAUCUGUGAGCAAACUUGAAACAAGAAUUUUAUUUUAGUUGACAAACCAAUUUAUAUUACUUAAUCAGGGUUUUGUUUUAAUAAAGAGUAAAACUAUCUCUCCAAAUCUUGUUAAUUGUUAAAUUUUAAAAUAUGACUUGGUCUGUGGCAGUCUGACAGACACAGACAUCAUUUACAGACAGGCUGAUAUUUAAAAUAGGUAACUGAGCUAUUUCUUCAGGCAGAG